ACGGCUCAGUAACACGUAGCUAAUCUGCCCUCACGCCGGUGAUACCCCCGGGAAACUGAGGUUAAGCACCGAUAGGCGACGUUCUCUGAAAUGAUUCGUCGCUCAACGCUGUUGUGAGGAUGAGGCUGCGGCUGAUUAGGUUGUUGGCGGGGUAAUGGCCCACCAAGCCUAUGAUCAGUAAGGGCCUUUAGCGAGGAAGCCCUGAGAGGGAGUCUGAGACACUACUCCCAGCCCUACGGGGUGCAGCAGUCGGGAAACUUCUGCAAUGUACGCAAGUAUGACAGAGCAAGCCAGAGUGUUUUUCUUCGGAAAAACUUUUGUGUGAUGUAAAAAGUCGCACGAAUAAGGACUGGGAGAGACUGGUGCCAGCCGCCGCGGUAAUCCCAGCAGUCCAAGUCGCAACCACAUUUGUUGGGUCUAAAACAUCCGUAGCUUGCUGGAUAAGUCUCUUGUGAAAUUCUAUGUCUCAAACAUAGAGCGCGCAUGAGGUACUGUUGAGCUAGAGACUGGAAGACGUAAGAAGUACGGUUAAAGUAACGGUAAAAUGUGUUAAUCUUAAUCGGACUAACAAUAGCGAAGGCAUCUUACGAGGACAGUUCUGACAGUAAGGGAUGAAGGCUAGGGGCGCAAAGUGGAUUAGAUACCCAUGUAGUCCUAGCAGUAAACACUGCACACUAAACAUUGGUGCCUCUUCGAGAGGCGUCAGUGCUGAAGCGAAGGCGAAGAGUGUGCUACCUGGGAAGUAUAGUCGCAAGGCUGAAACUUAAAGGAAUUGGCGGGGGAGCAC
RNAcentral lists this ribosomal RNA (787 nucleotides) under uncultured archaeon. RNAcentral's name for it is "bacterial SSU rRNA". It matches the Rfam family "Archaeal small subunit ribosomal RNA", at positions 85 to 879 of the family's 1478-position model. The record is from RNAcentral.